GUGAGUAACACGUGAGAAUCACCUUUAGGCGGGGAAUAACUAUCAGAAACGAUAGCUAAUGCCCCAUAUGCUUGUAAGAGUAAAAGGAGAAAUCCGCCUAAAGAGAAGCUCGCGGCUGAUUAGCUAGUUGGUAAGGUAAUGGCUUACCAAGGCGACGAUCAGUAGCUGGUUUGAGAGAAUGAUCAGCCACACUGGAACUGAGACACGGUCCAGACUCCUACGGGAGGCAGCAGUGAGGAAUUUUCCGCAAUGGGCUAAAGCCUGACGGAGCAAUACCGCGUGAGGGAUGACAGCCUUAGGGUUGUAAACCUCUUUUAUCAAGGAGGAAGUUCUGACGUGUACUUGAUGAAUAAGCAUCGGCUAACUCCGUGCCAGCAGCCGCGGUAAGACGGAGGAUGCAAGUGUUAUCCGGAAUCACUGGGCGUAAAGCGUCUGUAGGUGGUUUAAAAAGUCCACUGUUAAAAAUUGAAGCUUAACUUCAAAAAUGCCGUGGAAACUUUUAAACUUGAGUAUGAUAGGGGUAGAGGGAAUUCCAGUGGAGCGGUGAAAUGCGUAGAUA
This 559-nucleotide ribosomal RNA is filed under the name uncultured cyanobacterium. RNAcentral describes it as "bacterial SSU rRNA". It matches the Rfam family "Bacterial small subunit ribosomal RNA", at positions 106 to 696 of the family's 1533-position model. Lineage: Bacteria; Bacillati; Cyanobacteriota. The record is from RNAcentral.